GGGAAUUUGAAGUGCCUGACUGGGUGGCCGGGAGACGGAGUCUCGGGGUCGCGUGCACCUGGGCGGCCAGGGAGGCUCCAGUGCCCGGGAGAAAGGCAAGAAAACUGAGGCACAGAGAGAUUGUCACACAGCCAGUAAGGUUUCUUUCAAAAUGAAGAUUCACGCAGUGAUUGUAACUGUCUUGAUGAGCCAGGUUGUAGUUUACAAAGUUUUAUUCCAGAAGGAAAAAAGCCACUUCACCUAGAAAUUUUGCAAACAAAUCAACUUUUACUCUGUGAGUAAUCCAGGGCCUAUCAAGACUACAUUUUAGUUGACUGCAAGGCCUCUGAGGCACGGGAAUUCACAGCUGAGUUCUUGGAGAAGGUCCUUGAGCCAUCUGGAUGGCGGACAGUCUGGCACAUGAUGUGCUCAAGGUGCUGCUUGAGGCCACAGAUGUGGACAUUUCAGCCUUGAAGGCAGUGGUGCAGCUUGCUGAGCCAUACCUCUGUGAAUCUUGAGCGAGUACUUUCACCUUGGAGUGUGUGAAAGAGCUCCUCGAGCUGAAGGAACAUCAGUUGCCCCUGAAGGAGCUGGGUGGUGUUUGAUGAUUCUGGAGACAGCACUUGUAACUUGUAACUGAGCAUGUCAGCUAGGAAGGAUAGCCACUGAGCAAGCCUGUAAGGCUAUUGGUCUGCCCAUUCUGGUUUCUUCACCAAUGAGAAAACUGGGACCUGGGGAGUUUGCAGAAGCCAUCCAAGGGCACCUGCUUCUCACAGCACAGCAGCUUCCUGCAGCCCUCCCUCCUGUCUUGUUUCUCCCUUAAUUGAGAGGAGAGGCCAGAACCAGAUGCAGGCAGUUCCAACAGUAAUGAAUUGCUCUAAGGUGUGGAUCCAAGAACCGGUGACAAGGUCAGGAAAUUCCAUCCCGGGACACUGACCCAACUAAGAGACUGUGCAUGAUGGCUAAGUUCAGAGCUCUGAGGAGAUGGUAAAACUCAUUUGCAACGAAACAAGAUAUUUUCCAACUCUGCAGCCAGAAACCAUCCUCCUGGCUGUCUCACCAUCAGCGCCACCUCUCCGUGGGUCUGGAGUCUUGAGGAGCCAGGACUGGACUGGGAUGUAAGGUUGGGUCUUCCGAGCUGUAGAUGGGAGCAGGAAGAUGUAUCUCCAUUCACGAUCUCAGUACAAGGCUCAGCUAUCUCCCGGCAACUCGCCCAUCAUCUGUUUCUGAGUUCUUCUGACAUACAGGUUCUUUGGAGGCGGCAUCAAGAAAAUACAUUUGGACAAAUCCUUCAUCUCAAAUAUUUUCCCCUCAUGAAACCAAAGGCAUUGCUCCAAAGUCAUUUCCAUUAAUUAGACAUGCAUCUUGUAUGACUGAAGGAGAAUCUAGUCCACAAACUCUGGGUUAAUUUUCUCUUCUGACAUCUGUGUGUAGUGUUUCUCUGAGGAGCUGAAUUAUCUGCUCUCCAGUGCCUUCCUCUCGGUGUUUUUUGGCCAGGAGCAAGGAGACAGGCAGCUGCAUUCUGGGAGCAGCAAGCAAUUCUGAGAACUGGAGCUGCUUAGGUUCUUUCACUUCUGCUUCAAAGGAAUACGUUGAGUUUGCAGAGAAUGAAGGAGAGAAAGACUCCAAGUUCCAAGCAGGGUCUUGGGGUAGUCUCUGAGCAUCCCAAUGUACUUACUUCCUCCCCACAGCUUCCUCACUGGGCUCCCAGCCACCAGUAUUUGUCUCUUUAAUCCCCCAACACAGAGCUACUAGAUGGAUUUCUUUCUUUCUUUUUUGUUUCUUUCUUUCGAUCGAUUUCUCUUUCUUUCUUUCUUUCUCUUUCCUUCUUUCUUUUCUUUCCUUUUCUUUUCUUUCUUUCUUUUUCUUUCUUUUACAUCUUCCUUCCUUCCUUGCUUCCUUUCUCUCUCUUUUUCUUUCUUUUAUGGUUUUUUUUUUGUUGUUGUUGUUGUUGUUUUUAGACAGUCUUGCUCUGUCACCCAGGCUGGAGUGCAGUGGUGCAAUCUCGGCUCACUGAAGUCUCAACCUCCUAGGCUCAAACAGUCCUCCAACUUCAGCCUCCCAAGUAGCUGAGACUACAGAUCAGCAAUCUGGCUAAUUAAAAAAAAAUUUUUUUUAGAGAUGGGGUCUUACUAUGUUGCCCAGUCUGGUCUUGAACUCCUAGCCUCAAACAGUCAUCCUCCCUUAGCCUCCUAAAGUGCCGUGAUUAUAGGCGUGAGCCACCAUGCCCAGCUGGAUUUUUUCUUUUAACUGUAGUUUUAUCAUGUUCUUUUUGCUUAAAAUAAACUUUUCUGAAGUAAAUUCUGGACUCUGCAAGGUCUUUGUUCUAUUUGUUAUGGUGUUUGGGCAAGCCCUCUGUUUUCCUGUCCAGAGCAGGCCUGGGACCUUUGCCUUCGGUGGCUUUCCUGGGAUCCCCCACUACCCAGAAGAGCAGGGCUAUUGCCUCUGCUCGUCCCCAGAUCCCAACCCUCCAUGGGCCUGCCCUGGAUCCUUGCUGUUGGAGGGGAGGCACAACUUCACCUCUACCCUCAUAGGGAUUUUUGGCUGCACCUGC
Molecule: long non-coding RNA, 2533 nt
Filed under: Homo sapiens (human)
Lineage: Eukaryota; Metazoa; Chordata; Mammalia; Primates; Hominidae
Description: HSALNT0257946
Source: RNAcentral